This 309-nucleotide ribosomal RNA is filed under the name Triticum aestivum (bread wheat). RNAcentral describes it as "partial small subunit ribosomal RNA". Lineage: Eukaryota; Viridiplantae; Streptophyta; Magnoliopsida; Poales; Poaceae. The record is from RNAcentral.
AUGCAAGAGAUAGUUCGUGGAUGCGUGGGGAAGCCAAUUGUUGAAAAUACUCGUUCCUGCCGGUGUGAAUGCCCAGCCCUCAUCAGACUACUGCGGACAAAGGACAAUGGAUGGUACAUAGCAGAGCAUCGAGAUGGGCACACCCAUGCACUUUCCCAAACGUAUGGACAGACAAUACACUGGCCUACGACAGUGAGCGCGGAAGCAUGGAUCUGCGUGAUGGACACAACAGCGGUGGUGAAUGAGGGACAGCUCGUGUCAGGCCUCGAAGCUCUGAACUGGAAAGAGAAUCCACAUGCUUCUAUCUAG